UUCGCCUUGUCAGUGUGCUAUCGGAAAUGGUUAAUGAUAAGAUAGAAAGUACACCAGAAGCAUAUAAUUAGCUUCGUGUUAGGCCUGAUGCCUUUAGAAAUCACCUCGACAUUCUGUUCCCUUAACACCCGGUUGACAUUUGAGGAGAAAUCACCUUCACAGCAGCUCAUUUAGACACAGGAGCUGUCACCAAAACUCCACCGCCCAACCGGGCCAGCCUGGUCCGGAGCAAGCCACAGAGAUUGGAAGAUUUGCAGCAGAAGGAGCAUUUCCUGGCCUUGGAGGUUGACCCUCUCGUCCCGCGACAGCAUGGCGCAAACCCAGCACUUUUGUGCAGCGCUGGGAGAAUGAGCAGGGAAAUGAAGCCGGGGUGCGAGACCUUGGGCUUUUUCUUUCGUGUAACUGUGGGACACUGGGGACCCGGGGCAUGAUUUUGACCAGGCAGUCGAUAGAAUCUACAACGAAUCUCGCACGCCGGUCAGGUUUAGUCGUUCGUAGAAAAGAGUUUCCGUGAAAGUGGGAGAAUCUGAUUUAUUUGGAAGAGAAAUGAAAACAGUAACAGAGGAUUACGCAAAAGCCUGCGUGCCUCCCCGUCGGGGAAUCGAACCCCGGUCUCCCGCGUGACAGGCGGGGAUACUCACCACUAUACUAACGAGGACCGGCUCUGAUUGGGGCUUUCAGGUCACCGCCUCCGAGAAGCCCUCCCGGAUCACGCCUCCCAACCUGACCCCAGCCCCUUACCGUUUACUGUUAGGGAACAAGGUCAUGUCUCGGGUGCAACUCCCCAAGCAGCCUAAGGUGUGGCAGAGAUGCUGACCACGUCAAGGCGUGUGGAGGACGCAACAGGCACAUUGCGACUUUCCUUCGGGCAGUGAGUGACUCAGAUCCGGCCUCCACGCAUGGCCACCAUUCCUGUGGCACCUGCUCAGCUUCAAGGGGUGAAGAGGUCAACAGGUGGGCGUCCAAGUUCGGCUCUACUUCCCUCCUUUUGG
Molecule: long non-coding RNA, 992 nt
Organism: Neofelis nebulosa (Clouded leopard)
Lineage: Eukaryota; Metazoa; Chordata; Mammalia; Carnivora; Felidae
Exons: 4
Source: RefSeq, a predicted model, not a curated record